GGAAUAUUGGACAAUGGGCGCAAGCCUGAUCCAGCCAUGCCGCGUGCAGGAUGACGGUCCUAUGGAUUGUAAACUGCUUUUAUACAGGAAGAAACACUACUUCGUGAAGUAGCUUGACGGUACUGUAAGAAUAAGGAUCGGCUAACUCCGUGCCAGCAGCCGCGGUAAUACGGAGGAUCCAAGCGUUAUCCGGAAUCAUUGGGUUUAAAGGGUCCGUAGGCGGUUUAAUAAGUCAGUGGUGAAAGCCCAUCGCUCAACGGUGGAACGGCCAUUGAUACUGUUAGACUUGAAUUAUUAGGAAGUAACUAGAAUAUGUAGUGUAGCGGUGAAAUGCUUAGAGAUUACAUGGAAUACCAAUUGCGAAGGCAGGUUACUACUAAUUGAUUGACGCUGAUGGACGAAAGCGUGGGUAGCGAACAGGAUUAGAUACCCUUG
This 435-nucleotide ribosomal RNA is filed under the name uncultured Flavobacterium sp. RNAcentral's name for it is "bacterial SSU rRNA". It matches the Rfam family "Bacterial small subunit ribosomal RNA", at positions 358 to 790 of the family's 1533-position model. The record is from RNAcentral. Lineage: Bacteria; Pseudomonadati; Bacteroidota; Flavobacteriia; Flavobacteriales; Flavobacteriaceae.